CUAGUGAUUCUUACAAGCCUGUUUGCCUGUGCCUCGAAAAUAGCUAUAUAUUCCUGAUGUAGCAUAUUGAUUCACAUAAAAUUGUGCCACAAAAAUGGGCCAAAAAUCUGAAAAUCUACAAUCAAGUAAUAUGUGGCUGUUGAGUGUUUCUGAGUUCGGCACUUUUCACCUUGGGAUUUAUGUCAUUUGCUCCUGCCUGCCUCCUCAUGAGACUCUCUCUCUCUCAAUGACACUCUUCCGCCUGGAUGAAGUUGGGUGGUCUACUCUACUGGAAGUCCAGCUGAUUAAACCAUGAUGAAAAACCUGACACCUGGUUCAAGGGGAGUUCUUGC
Molecule: long non-coding RNA, 332 nt
Filed under: Salvator merianae (Argentine black and white tegu)
Lineage: Eukaryota; Metazoa; Chordata; Lepidosauria; Squamata; Teiidae
Description: lncRNA (ENSSMRG00000000809.1)
Source: RNAcentral